This 407-nucleotide ribosomal RNA is filed under the name uncultured Thaumatomonadida. Its description in RNAcentral is "partial small subunit ribosomal RNA". It matches the Rfam family "Eukaryotic small subunit ribosomal RNA", at positions 30 to 432 of the family's 1831-position model. Lineage: Eukaryota; Cercozoa; Imbricatea; Thaumatomonadida. The record is from RNAcentral.
GCUUGUCUCAAAGAUUAAGCCAUGCAUGUGUUAGUAUAAACGCCUUUAUACUGUGAAACUGCGAACGGCUCAUUAUAUCAGUUAUAGUUUAUUUGAUACUUUUCGACUAUUGGAUAACCGUAGUAAUUCUAGAGCUAAUACAUGCGUAAAAUCCCGACUCUCGCGGGGAGGGAUGUAUUUAUUAGUUAAAAAGCCAAUGCGGGUUCUGCCCGGUUUUGUGGUGAAUCAUAGUAACUGUUCGAAUCGCAUGGCUUCACGCCGGCGAUAGUUCAUUCAAAUUUCUGCCCUAUCAGCUUUCGACGGUAGUGUAGUGGACUACCGUGGCGUUAACGGGUAACGGAGAAUUAGGGUUCGGUUCCGGAGAGGGAGCCUGAGAAACGGCUACCACAUCCAAGGAAGGCAGCAGG